GACGAACGCUGGCGGCGUGCUUAACACAUGCAAGUCGAACGGAAAGGCCCUUCUUUUGUGGGGUGCUCGAGUGGCGAACGGGUGAGUAACACGUGAGUAACCUGCCCUUGACUUUGGGAUAACUUCAGGAAACUGGGGCUAAUACCGGAUAGGAGCUCCUGCUGCAUGGUGGGGGUUGGAAAGUUUCGGCGGUUGGGGAUGGACUCGCGGCUUAUCAGCUUGUUGGUGGGGUAGUGGCUUACCAAGGCUUUGACGGGUAGCCGGCCUGAGAGGGUGACCGGCAACAGGGGGAAUGAGAUAAGGCCCAGACGCCGACGGCAGGCAGUAGUGGAGAAUAUUGCACAAUGGGCGGACGCAAGAUGAAGCAACGCCGAGGGCGGGAUGACGGCCGUCGGGUUGUAAACCGCUUUCGCAUGUGACGAAGCGUGAGUGACUGUAAUGGGUAAAGAAGCACCGGAUAACUACGU
RNAcentral lists this ribosomal RNA (467 nucleotides) under uncultured bacterium. Its description in RNAcentral is "partial 16S ribosomal RNA". It matches the Rfam family "Bacterial small subunit ribosomal RNA", at positions 28 to 506 of the family's 1533-position model. The record is from RNAcentral.